UACGUAGGGUGCAAGCGUUGUCCGGAAUUAUUGGGCGUAAAGAGCUCGUAGGCGGUCUGUCGCGUCGGCUGUGAAAACCCGAGGCUCAACCUCGGGCCUGCAGUCGAUACGGGCAAACUAGAGUACUGCAGGGGAGACUGGAAUUCCUGGUGUAGCGGUGAAAUGCGCAGAUAUCAGGAGGAACACCGGUGGCGAAGGCGGGUCUCUGGGCAGUAACUGACGCUGAGGAGCGAAAGCCGGGGGAGCAAACAGG
RNAcentral lists this ribosomal RNA (253 nucleotides) under uncultured bacterium. Its description in RNAcentral is "partial 16S ribosomal RNA". It matches the Rfam family "Bacterial small subunit ribosomal RNA", at positions 524 to 776 of the family's 1533-position model. The record is from RNAcentral.